This 469-nucleotide ribosomal RNA is filed under the name uncultured bacterium. RNAcentral describes it as "bacterial SSU rRNA". It matches the Rfam family "Bacterial small subunit ribosomal RNA", at positions 337 to 798 of the family's 1533-position model. The record is from RNAcentral.
UCCUACGGGUGGCAGCAGCUAAGAAUCUUCCGCAAUGGGCGAAAGCCUGACGGAGCGACGCCGCGUGGACGAUGAAGGCCGAAAGGUUGUAAAGUCCUUUUCUCUGUGAAGAAUAAGUGGGGGAGGAAAUGCCCUUAUGAUGACGUUAGCAGAGGAAUAAGCCCCGGCUAAUUACGUGCCAGCAGCCGCGGUAAUACGUAAGGGGCAAGCGUUGUUCGGAAGUAUUGGGUGUAAAGGGCGCGUAGGCGGCUCUGCAAGUCCGGUGUAUAAGGCUACGGCUUAACCGUGGUUUUGCGCUGGAAACUGUGGGGCUUGAGUUUAGGAGGGGGAGCUGGAAUUCCAGGUGUAGGGGUGAAAUCUGUAGAUAUCUGGAAGAACACCGGUGGCGAAGGCGAGCUCCUGGCCAUAGACUGACGCUGAGGCGCGAAAGCGUGGGGAGCGAACAGGAUUAGAUACCCGGGUAGUCAGC